CCUUAGAGCGCCUCAAGGCUUACACUUGCCUCAUGGAGAUAAAACACGUGAAUAUCCAAAUUAGCCUUUUUAAACAUUGCAAGAAAGAACUUAUAAGAAUAGACCUAAGAGAGGAAUUUAUAAGAUGUUGAGCAGCAACAGAUAUGACCAGGAAUUUCAUUGCCGGUGGAGGGAAGCCAAAUUUCAUUAUGAAACUACAAAUAUAUUUCCUUUGUGUUUGCGGCUUUGUCCACAGAUUAGCUCACAAUAUUCCAUGCUAAUUCAGAUAUAGGCUUUUAAUGAUUAAAAAACGCUUUGGACUCUCAUAGAAUGUUCGUAAGAGGAGGGGGGAGAAAGAAAUCUAAUUUUAAUAAAUCAACUGAUGACUGCAAUAAGUAGACUGAUGAUACGAUAGGAAUCCCCUUAAUGGGUGGUCAAUGCUAAUAAUUUACCCAAUUAGUGGGCCAGCCACAUCAAAUUAUUAAGAGAAACCAUGAAGAAUCACAGAUAUCUGUAUGAUGGCAAUUGACAGUUUUUUUUAGUUUAUUGCACAAAAACAAGCAAGAAAGGACACGAGUUUCUUAUCUGGUUUUGUGAUGGAAUGUAAAAAAGCACAUCAUACUCUCAUAGUGUGAAUAUUUUCAUUACAUCAUUCAUUUGCUAUCGCUUUCAUAUUGCUGGUUCUUUGUUGACUAGUAGAAAAUUUAAUCAACUUCCCCUUUCUAGAGGUCACUUGUGAUGCUUUCAAAUUAUAAAGCAUAACAGACCAACAAAGAACUCAAGGCAUUCCGGUCAAGUUCUUAUUUUAAUUCUCCUUUUGAAAUUACUUUAUUAUCUAAAAUCUGGUAACCAGGUCUUCCAACUUCCAAUUAGCUCUUUUCCAAUAACUCAUUUUCCCGAAAUCACCAAUGUCCAGACCUACUAGUCAAAUCAAUAAAAAUAGCAAUCAACUACAAACGCCAAAAAAAAAAAAAGGCAUAUCUAUGGUGCAAACACUAAUAUCAACUUUUUAUGUGUAGCUACUAAUCAGAACAGCUCUCAAUUAAAAUUUGACUAUUUCAUUAUAACUGCAUCCCUUUCGAUAAUUACGAAGUCCUUUCCC
Molecule: long non-coding RNA, 1081 nt
Filed under: Olea europaea subsp. europaea
Lineage: Eukaryota; Viridiplantae; Streptophyta; Magnoliopsida; Lamiales; Oleaceae
Source: RNAcentral